Molecule: ribosomal RNA, 1722 nt
Filed under: Enterobacter hormaechei
Lineage: Bacteria; Pseudomonadati; Pseudomonadota; Gammaproteobacteria; Enterobacterales; Enterobacteriaceae
Description: partial 23S ribosomal RNA
Rfam family: Bacterial large subunit ribosomal RNA
Source: RNAcentral
GGGUUGUGAGGUUAAGCGACUAAGCGUACACGGUGGAUGCCCUGGCAGUCAGAGGCGAUGAAGGACGUGCUAAUCUGCGAAAAGCGCCGGCGAGGUGAUAUGAACCUUUGACCCGGCGAUGUCCGAAUGGGGAAACCCAGUGCAAUCCGUUGCACUAUCGUUAACUGAAUACAUAGGUUAACGAGGCGAACCGGGGGAACUGAAACAUCUAAGUACCCCGAGGAAAAGAAAUCAACCGAGAUUCCCCCAGUAGCGGCGAGCGAACGGGGAGCAGCCCGGAGUCUGAAUCAGCUUGUGUGUUAGUGGAACGGUCUGGAAAGUCCGACGGUACAGGGUGAUAGUCCCGUACACGAAAGCACACUUGCUGUGAACUCGAAGAGUAGGGCGGGACACGUGGUAUCCUGUCUGAAUAUGGGGGGACCAUCCUCCAAGGCUAAAUACUCCUGACUGACCGAUAGUGAACCAGUACCGUGAGGGAAAGGCGAAAAGAACCCCGGCGAGGGGAGUGAAAAAGAACCUGAAACCGUGUACGUACAAGCAGUGGGAGCCUCUUUAUGGGGUGACUGCGUACCUUUUGUAUAAUGGGUCAGCGACUUAUAUUCUGUAGCAAGGUUAACCGUAUAGGGGAGCCGAAGGGAAACCGAGUCUUAACUGGGCGUUAAGUUGCAGGGUAUAGACCCGAAACCCGGUGAUCUAGCCAUGGGCAGGUUGAAGGUUGGGUAACACUAACUGGAGGACCGAACCGACUAAUGUUGAAAAAUUAGCGGAUGACCUGUGGCUGGGGGUGAAAGGCCAAUCAAACCGGGAGAUAGCUGGUUCUCCCCGAAAGCUAUUUAGGUAGCGCCUCGUGAACUCAUCUUCGGGGGUAGAGCACUGUUUCGGCUAGGGGGCCAUCCCGGCUUACCAACCCGAUGCAAACUACGAAUACCGAAGAAUGUUAUCACGGGAGACACACGGCGGGUGCUAACGUCCGUCGUGAAGAGGGAAACAACCCAGACCGCCAGCUAAGGUCCCAAAGUCAUGGUUAAGUGGGAAACGAUGUGGGAAGGCACAGACAGCCAGGAUGUUGGCUUAGAAGCAGCCAUCAUUUAAAGAAAGCGUAAUAGCUCACUGGUCGAGUCGGCCUGCGCGGAAGAUGUAACGGGGCUAAACCAUGCACCGAAGCUGCGGCAGCGACGCUUAGGCGUUGUUGGGUAGGGGAGCGUUCUGUAAGCCGUUGAAGGUGUGCUGUGAGGCAUGCUGGAGGUAUCAGAAGUGCGAAUGCUGACAUAAGUAACGAUAAAGCGGGUGAAAAGCCCGCUCGCCGGAAGACCAAGGGUUCCUGUCCAACGUUAAUCGGGGCAGGGUGAGUCGACCCCUAAGGCGAGGCCGAAAGGCGUAGUCGAUGGGAAACAGGUUAAUAUUCCUGUACUUGGUGUUACUGCGAAGGGGGGACGGAGAAGGCUAUGUCAGCCGGGCGACGGUUGUCCCGGUUUAAGCAUGUAGGCGGAGGUUCCAGGUAAAUCCGGUACCUUGUUAACGCUGAGGUGUGAUGACGAGGCACUACGGUGCUGAAGUGAUAAAUGCCCUGCUUCCAGGAAAAGCCUCUAAGCAUCAGGUAACACGAAAUCGUACCCCAAACCGACACAGGUGGUCAGGUAGAGAAUACCAAGGCGCUUGAGAGAACUCGGGUGAAGGAACUAGGCAAAAUGGUGCCGUAACUUCGGGAGAAGGCACGCUGAU